GACGAACGCUGGCGGCGUGCUUAACACAUGCAAGUCGAACGGAAAGGCCCUGCUAUUGUGGGGUGCUCGAGUGGCGAACGGGUGAGUAACACGUGAGUAACCUGCUCUAGACUUUGGGAUAACUUCAGGAAACUGGGGCUAAUACCGGAUAGGAGCUCCCGCUGCAUGGUGGGGGUUGGAAAGUUUCGGCGGUUGGGGAUGGAUUCGCGGCUUACCAGUUAGUUGGUGGGGUAGUGGCUUACCAAGGCUUUGACGGGUAGCCGGCCUGGGAGGGUGACCGGCGACAUUGGGACUGAGGUACGGCCCAGACGCCUACGGGGGGCAGCAGUGGGGAAUAUUGCACAAUGGUCGGGAGCCUGAUACAGCGACGCCGGGUGCGGAAUGACGGCCUUCGGGUUGUGAACCGCUUUCGCCUGUGACGAAGCGGGAGUGACGGUAAUGGGUAAAGAAGCACCGGCUAACUACGUG
Molecule: ribosomal RNA, 468 nt
Filed under: uncultured bacterium
Lineage: Bacteria
Description: partial 16S ribosomal RNA
Rfam family: Bacterial small subunit ribosomal RNA
Source: RNAcentral